CGAACGCUGGCGGCGGGCCUUACACAUGCAAGUCGAACGAGAAAACUCGCUUCGGUGAGUAAGUAAAGUGGCGCACGGGUGAGUAACACGUGGAUAAUAUACCUUCGAGUUCGGGAUAAUCUACCGAAAGGUGGCCUAAUACCGAAUAACAUCAAUUUGCUGAGGCAAAUUGGUCAAAGAUGGCCUCUUCAUGAAAGCUGUCACUUGAAGAUUAGUCCGCGAUCUAUUAGCUAGUUGGUAGGGUAAAAGCCUACCAAGGCCGAGAUGGAUAGCUGGUCUGAGAGGAUGAUCAGCCACACUGGAACUGAGACACGGUCCAGACUCCUACGGGAGGCAGCAGUGGGGAAUAUUGCGCAAUGGGGGAAACCCUGACGCAGCCACGCCGCGUGAGUGAUGAAGGCCUUCGGGUUGUAAAGCUCUGUCAGAUGGGAAGAAACCCUUUAGGUGAUAAGCUUAAAGGUUUGACGGUACCAUCAGAGGAAGCACCGGCUAACUAC
This 497-nucleotide ribosomal RNA is filed under the name uncultured bacterium. Its description in RNAcentral is "bacterial SSU rRNA". It matches the Rfam family "Bacterial small subunit ribosomal RNA", at positions 30 to 504 of the family's 1533-position model. The record is from RNAcentral.